CCAACACCUCCUAAGACCCAUGAAUUGGACAAAAGCCUUGAAUGAUAUUUUAAGGUGGUGUACCACAGAGAUCGGUGCUUCUAUCUCUGCUCCUUGUGAUGUACAUGGACGUGAGUGGACAAGGUUCACUGACGUACUGUUUGAGAAAGCUAUCACGGAUGCAUUCUAUCAAAUCCUCCUCAAGACUACCUCGACACAGAGAGAGUGAGAGUGAAAGGGACAGGAGAGAAAGGAUGGAGAGAGUGUGGGCAGAAAGGAGGAUCUGAGCAUCACCGUCAGAGUCAACAUCUUUGGCCUGCUGAAUUUCGCCCUUUGGAACGGGUGACCCUGCUCCGUGAACCACUGCAGUCCUUCCGGUGAUGGGAAUGGAG
Long non-coding RNA from Pristis pectinata (smalltooth sawfish), 371 nucleotides. RefSeq lists it as uncharacterized. The transcript has 3 exons. NCBI's taxonomy places the organism in Eukaryota, Metazoa, Chordata, Chondrichthyes, Rhinopristiformes, Pristidae. The record is from RefSeq and is a predicted model, not a curated record.